Molecule: ribosomal RNA, 540 nt
Filed under: uncultured Gallionellaceae bacterium
Lineage: Bacteria; Pseudomonadati; Pseudomonadota; Betaproteobacteria; Nitrosomonadales; Gallionellaceae
Description: bacterial SSU rRNA
Rfam family: Bacterial small subunit ribosomal RNA
Source: RNAcentral
GUGGGGGAUAACGUAGCGAAAGUUACGCUAAUACCGCAUAUGCCCUGAGGGGGAAAGGAGGGGAUCGUAAGACCUUUCGCUUUCGGAGUGGCCGAUAUCGGAUUAGCUAGUUGGUGAGGUAAAGGCUCACCAAGGCGACGAUCCGUAGCGGGUCUGAGAGGAUGAUCCGCCACACUGGGACUGAGACACGGCCCAGACUCCUACGGGAGGCAGCAGUGGGGAAUUUUGGACAAUGGGCGCAAGCCUGAUCCAGCCAUGCCGCGUGAGUGAAGAAGGCCUUCGGGUUGUAAAGCUCUUUCAGCUGGAAAGAAAACCUAUCCGCUAAUACCGGGUGGGGAUGACGGUACCAGCAGAAGAAGCACCGGCUAACUACGUGCCAGCAGCCGCGGUAAUACGUAGGGUGCGAGCGUUAAUCGGAAUUACUGGGCGUAAAGCGUGCGCAGGCGGCUUUUUAAGCCAGAUGUGAAAUCCCCGGGCUUAACCUGGGAACUGCAUUUGGAACUGGAAGGCUAGAGUGUAGCAGAGGGGGGUAGAAUUCCA